Molecule: ribosomal RNA, 253 nt
Filed under: uncultured bacterium
Lineage: Bacteria
Description: partial 16S ribosomal RNA
Rfam family: Bacterial small subunit ribosomal RNA
Source: RNAcentral
GACGAACCGUGCGAACGUUGUUCGGAAUCACUGGGCUUAAAGGGCGCGUAGGCGGGCUUUCAAGUCGGGGGUGAAAUCGUUCGGCCCAACCGGACAAGGGCCCCCGAUACUGGAAGUCUCGAGGGAGGUAGGGGUUGGUGGAACUUCCGGUGGAGCGGUGAAAUGCGUAGAUAUCGGAAGGAACGCCGGUGGCGAAAGCGGCCAACUGGACCUCUUCUGACGCUGAGGCGCGAAAGCUAGGGGAGCGAACGGG